AUGCAUCCAUUUGACAGACCUGGAGCAGUUCCUGUCUGCUGCUAAGGUUUCCACUAGAGAUGCAAGAAAAAAAGUGUCCUCACACUUUCUGUCUGUCUCAUUGUGGCAGUCAAGAUUGAAUGGGGGAGUACAGGG
Molecule: small nucleolar RNA, 135 nt
Organism: Neomonachus schauinslandi (Hawaiian monk seal)
Lineage: Eukaryota; Metazoa; Chordata; Mammalia; Carnivora; Phocidae
Product: small nucleolar RNA SNORA31
Exons: 1
Source: RefSeq, a predicted model, not a curated record